CGCCUACGGGGGGCAGCAGUGAGGAAUAUUGGUCAAUGGCCGGAAGGCUGAACCAGCCAAGCCGCGUGAAGGACGAAGGCUUUCGGGUUGUAAACUUCUUUUAAGGGGGAAGAGCAGGAGACGGUACCCCUUGAAUAAGCCACGGCUAACUACGUGCCAGCAGCCGCGGUAAUACGUAGGUGGCAAGCGUUGUCCGGAUUUACUGGGUGUAAAGGGCGUGCAGCCGGAGAGACAAGUCAGAUGUGAAAUCCGCAGGCUCAACCUGCGAACUGCAUUUGAAACUGUUUCCCUUGAGUAUCGGAGAG
Molecule: ribosomal RNA, 305 nt
Filed under: uncultured bacterium
Lineage: Bacteria
Description: bacterial SSU rRNA
Rfam family: Bacterial small subunit ribosomal RNA
Source: RNAcentral